This 253-nucleotide ribosomal RNA is filed under the name uncultured bacterium. Its description in RNAcentral is "partial 16S ribosomal RNA". It matches the Rfam family "Bacterial small subunit ribosomal RNA", at positions 524 to 776 of the family's 1533-position model. The record is from RNAcentral.
GACAGAGGGUGCAAACGUUGUUCGGAAUUACUGGGAGUAAAGCGCGUGUAGGCUGCUUCGCAAGUCGGGUGUGAAAGCCCUGGGCUCAACCUAGGAAGUGCACUCGAAACUGCGGAGCUGGAGUCCUGGAGAGGAAGGCGGAAUUCUCGGUGUAGAGGUGAAAUUCGUAGAUAUCGAGAGGAACACCGGUGGCGAAGGCGGCCUUCUGGACAGUGACUGACGCUGAGACGCGAAAGCGUGGGGAGCAAACAGG